Molecule: ribosomal RNA, 253 nt
Filed under: uncultured bacterium
Lineage: Bacteria
Description: partial 16S ribosomal RNA
Rfam family: Bacterial small subunit ribosomal RNA
Source: RNAcentral
UACGUAGGGGGCAGGCGUUAAUCGGAAUUACUGGGCGUAAAGCGUGCGCAGGCGGCUCCUUAAGUCAGAUGUGAAAGCCCCGGGCUCAACCUGGGAACUGCAUCUGUGACUGCAUCGCUGGAGUGCGGCAGAGGGGGAUGGAAUUCCGCGUGUAGCAGUGAAAUGCGUAGAUAUGCGGAGGAACACCGAUGGCGAAGGCAAUCCCCUGGGCCUGCACUGACGCUCAUGCACGAAAGCGUGGGGAGCAAACAGG